This 945-nucleotide ribosomal RNA is filed under the name Chromatomyia scolopendri. Its description in RNAcentral is "eukaryotic LSU rRNA". It matches the Rfam family "Eukaryotic large subunit ribosomal RNA", at positions 185 to 964 of the family's 3401-position model. The record is from RNAcentral. Lineage: Eukaryota; Metazoa; Arthropoda; Insecta; Diptera; Agromyzidae.
UUAAAUGAGGCCAUUUACCCAUAGAGGGUGCCAGGCCCGUAUAACAUUAAUGAUUAUUAGAAGAUAUUUCCGAAGAGUCGUGUUGCUUGAUAGUGCAGCACUAAGUGGGUGGUAAACUCCAUCUAAAACUAAAUAUAACCAUGAGACCGAUAGUAAACAAGUACCGUGAGGGAAAGUUGAAAAGAACUCUGAAUAGAGAGUUAAAUAGUACGUGAAACUGCUUAGAGGUUAAACCCGAUGAACCUGAAUAUCCAAUAUAGAGAAUUCAACAUUUAAUUAAUAAUUAUUAUUAUUAAUGUGGUGUGCAUUUUUUCUAUAUAAAUGGACAUUGUAAUCUAUUAAUAUUAUAAUUUAUCAUAAGAUUAAUUGUUAUAUGUUUAUUUUGAUUAAUAUGUUGAUUUCUCAAUAUAUUAACUAUCAAAAUAAUUUAUAUUAAUUUGAUAAAGUGUUAAUAGAUUAAUUCAUAUGUAUAAUGCAUAUAAUAUAUCAAUGAUGUAUUUUAAUAUAUAUAUAUAUAUUAAGCAUUUAUACGAUUUACAAUGCGAAAGAUUCAGGAUACCUUCGGGACCCGUCUUGAAACACGGACCAAGGAGUCUAACAUAUGUGCAAGUUUCUGGGAUUUUUUAUAAAACCCAGAAGCAUAAUUAACAUAACUAUAAAUUUUUUUAUGGGAUUAAUUUAUAUAAAUUUUUUAUAUAUAUUCAAUCCCAGGGCGUUCUAUACAGUUAUGUAUUUAAUGACAUUUAUGUUAUUAAUACCUCUAACUAGAGCGUACCUUGAGCAUAUAUGCUGUGACCCGAAAGAUGGUGAACUAUACUUGAUCAGGUUGAAGUCAGGGGAAACCCUGAUGGAAGACCGAAACAGUUCUGACGUGCAAAUCGAUUGUCAGAAUUGAGUAUAGGGGCGAAAGACCAAUCGAACCAUCUAGUAGCUGGUUCCCUCCGA